GGGGCAUUAGCUCAGCUGGGAGAGCGCUACACUGGCAGUGUAGAGGUCAGCGGUUCGAGCCCGCUAUGCUCCACUA
Molecule: transfer RNA, 76 nt
Filed under: Halobacillus salinus
Lineage: Bacteria; Bacillati; Bacillota; Bacilli; Caryophanales; Bacillaceae
Also listed under: 1 other name
Description: tRNA-Ala
Rfam family: tRNA
About the family: Transfer RNA (tRNA) molecules are approximately 80 nucleotides in length. Their secondary structure includes four short double-helical elements and three loops (D, anti-codon, and T loops). Further hydrogen bonds mediate the characteristic L-shaped molecular structure. tRNAs have two regions of fundamental functional importance: the anti-codon, which is responsible for specific mRNA codon recognition, and the 3' end, to which the tRNAs corresponding amino acid is attached (by aminoacyl-tRNA synthetases). tRNAs cope with the degeneracy of the genetic code in two manners: having more than one tRNA (with a specific anti-codon) for a particular amino acid; and 'wobble' base-pairing, i.e. permitting non-standard base-pairing at the 3rd anti-codon position.
Source: RNAcentral